AUUGAACGCUGGCGGCAUGCCUUACACAUGCAAGUCGAACGGCAGCACGGGAGCAAUCCUGGUGGCGAGUGGCGAACGGGUGAGUAAAGUAUCGGAACGUGCCCAGUCGUGGGGGAUAACGUGGCGAAAGUUACGCUAAUACCGCAUACGAUCUAUGGAUGAAAGCGGGGGAUCGCAAGACCUCGCGCGAUUGGAGCGGCCGAAAUCAGAUUAGGUAGUUGGUGGGGUAAAGGCUCACCAAGCCGACGAUCUGUAGCUGGUCUGAGAGGACGACCGACAAGCAUGGGCCUGAGACACGGCCCAGACACCCACGGGAGGCAGCAGUGGGGAAUUUUGGACAAUGGGCGAAAGCCUGAUCCAGCCAUGCCGCGUGCAGGAUGAAGGCAUUCGGGUUGUAGACUGCUUUUGUACGGAACGAAAAGGUUUGGGCUAAUAAGCUGAGCUCAUGGCGGUACCGUAAGAAUAAGCACCGGCUAACUACGUGCCAGCAGCCGCGGUAA
RNAcentral lists this ribosomal RNA (500 nucleotides) under uncultured bacterium. RNAcentral describes it as "partial 16S ribosomal RNA". It matches the Rfam family "Bacterial small subunit ribosomal RNA", at positions 29 to 523 of the family's 1533-position model. The record is from RNAcentral.